Molecule: ribosomal RNA, 467 nt
Filed under: Bacillus pumilus
Lineage: Bacteria; Bacillati; Bacillota; Bacilli; Caryophanales; Bacillaceae
Description: bacterial SSU rRNA
Rfam family: Bacterial small subunit ribosomal RNA
Source: RNAcentral
AUCCUGGCUCAGGACGAACGCUGGCGGCGUGCCUAAUACAUGCAAGUCGAGCGGACAGAAGGGAGCUUGCUCCCGGAUGUUAGCGGCGGACGGGUGAGUAACACGUGGGUAACCUGCCUGUAAGACUGGGAUAACUCCGGGAAACCGGAGCUAAUACCGGAUAGUUCCUUGAACCGCAUGGUUCAAGGAUGAAAGACGGUUUCGGCUGUCACUUACAGAUGGACCCGCGGCGCAUUAGCUAGUUGGUGAGGUAACGGCUCACCAAGGCGACGAUGCGUAGCCGACCUGAGAGGGUGAUCGGCCACACUGGGACUGAGACACGGCCCAGACUCCUACGGGAGGCAGCAGUAGGGAAUCUUCCGCAAUGGACGAAAGUCUGACGGAGCAACGCCGCGUGAGUGAUGAAGGUUUUCGGAUCGUAAAGCUCUGUUGUUAGGGAAGAACAAAUAACAAGAGUAACUGCUUGC